UGGGUGAUUUUCAUGAUAAGGCGUGUGAGCGGAGGGCAUCGCACGUAAAUAACUUUGGAUCUGCCACCCCCCUAAACCUCGGAUUUGGCCAGUGUUGCGGCGAUGUGAUGAAAUUUCUUCGAUUUGGAAAUGGUUAGUUUGGGUCUAAUCGGUGUCUAGAUGAUCCACAGAAUCGAACUGAUAUUGAGGCAGUAUAAUGAAACUCCUCUCUAGACUUUAUGGAGGUGUCCAUGAUCACUCAGGGUGUGAUGGUGGCCAAAAAGCCGGAUUCGAUGAGGGUGUCACCAUAGGAGAUACCAGUGGCACCGGCUAGAAGGGCGUGAGAAAGGUUUGGACCACUUGGAUUACGAUCGUCAGAUAUUAAACUUGUUGGAAGAGUUGACCGAAUUGGUCAGCUGUGACUGGCACCGACUGGGCUGAUUGAACCAGUGGAAGGACGAUCGAUUGAACCGAUGGAGAGAUUUUUGUCACUGACGGUUAAACUUGAUUGUCAGCCUAGCUGGCCGCCUAUCGAAAAGCGGUGAUAUUAAAAAAUUAGAAAGAUGUCUGUCUUUAAGCCAUGAAUGCGAAGGUAGAUCCUUCCUCUAUCUGUUGUUACUUAAAUCGAUCAGAGUCGAAAGAUGG
This 624-nucleotide long non-coding RNA is filed under the name Elaeis guineensis (African oil palm). RNAcentral's name for it is "long non-coding RNA (EGUI_LNC026387)". The record is from RNAcentral. Lineage: Eukaryota; Viridiplantae; Streptophyta; Magnoliopsida; Arecales; Arecaceae.